RNAcentral lists this long non-coding RNA (725 nucleotides) under Hordeum vulgare. Its description in RNAcentral is "long non-coding RNA (HVUL_LNC007302)". The record is from RNAcentral. Lineage: Eukaryota; Viridiplantae; Streptophyta; Magnoliopsida; Poales; Poaceae.
CAUUUAAUAUGAUGUGUACCUAAAUGUGACCGAACUAAGUAAUUCAAAUAUGGAGUUUUGUCAAUAUGCAACGAGUUGCAUAUUGAGCUUCAUUUAAUGUGUAGUAAUAAACUGUUGUGCUUGUCGUGUCGUGCAUAAUAAUUGGACAUGCAUCAUAUAUGAUUGUGCAUCAUGUUAUCCAUAUGUGUGAUGUUUAUCGUGUGUUGAUUGUUUGUUUCUGGAUUGUUCUUUCUGGAUAGAGUUCCGAAAUCGUUUUGGAGUGAGGGUCCGUUCGGCUAUGUUAGUUCGUCUACUUCACAGAUUCGUUAUUUUUCCGAGCGGGAUCACACGCAAGAUGACCAUUUCCUUAUAUACCAUUACUAUCAUUGCCAUGGUAGUUGUCUCGUUUCUUUGCUAUGUUUUGCUGCCUACCACCUGUUUAAUAAGCCUCCCGACAUUGUCCUGAAAAGCCUCUAACAUGUCCACAACCCAGCAAACCAAUGUUUGGCUAUGUUACCGCUUGCUCAACCUUCUUAUAGCAUUGCUAGUUGCAGGUGCAGUUGCUUCCAUAUGAAAACAUGGGUUCCUUGUUAUAUAACCAUAUUAUUGCUAUUUAACUUAAUGCACCUAUAUACCUGGUAAAAGGCGGAAGGCUUGGCCUUUUGGCUUGUUGGGACCCCGACUUACGCGUCGAGAUCACUGAAUGCACGUGUACAGUGAUCCCAGAGAUCAAUGCUCACUAAUAA